This 579-nucleotide long non-coding RNA is filed under the name Homo sapiens (human). Its description in RNAcentral is "HSALNT0331278". Lineage: Eukaryota; Metazoa; Chordata; Mammalia; Primates; Hominidae. The record is from RNAcentral.
AUCACAAGUUGGGAAAGAGAAUGGAGAGGAUUCCCUGUAAGGAGAGAGAGUCCUUAUAUGGGCCACCAAAAUGUCAUGGACUUUCUUGCAAAAAUGCCUGUUUGGGAUUCCUCAGAGUACAGACAAAAAGGAAGGCUUGAUCAGCAUGUGGUGGAUCUGAAGAUUCAAAGAGGUGCCACAGCUCAAAAGUAGACAUUUUGGCAAAUGUGAAGAAGUGAGAUUCAAUGAAGAUGAUAAGAAAUGAAAGGUGUUACCAAAAGGGGUUGUCUGCUUAUGAGCUGCACCACCGAGCAGCAUGCCUAUCAGCGAGAAGGUGCCUGACAAUUCUCAGUUGAAAUGUCCUGACCAAGUUCCCCCAGAAAUUUAUGACUAAUAACAAAAGGGAAAAGCUACCCUCACAAGGAGAUGUCCAGUUGACACUAUCUCAACCAAAAUUAUUAAACAUAGCAUCAGCAAUCGUGGGACAAACAGACGCAAACAUCUCCUGGUGUGAGGCGAGGAAAGAAGACGACUUUACCAUGUGAACCCCUGUGGCUUCCUCAGAGACUGUCUGCUCUGGCACAUGCUCCUCCAGGUCUU